This is a long non-coding RNA of Felis catus (domestic cat), 398 nucleotides long. RefSeq lists it as uncharacterized. The transcript is spliced from 3 exons. NCBI's taxonomy places the organism in Eukaryota, Metazoa, Chordata, Mammalia, Carnivora, Felidae. The record is from RefSeq and is a predicted model, not a curated record.
ACAAAAGGGCCCAGAGCACUAGUAGGUAUCUUGGUGGUGGAAUUAGGAGUUUCGGGUGCUUUAAAGGCAGGGUUAUCAGCCAAGAUGUGCAGGCAGCCUCUAGACACUGAGAAACACGGGAAGGGAAUUCUUCCCUGCCAUGCACCUUGACAUGAGACUUUUGGCGCUACCAAACUAAAAUGAAAACUGAAUGUUACUCUGAUGGUGACCUUCGUCUCUUCACACAGAGGAGUUGGUGAAAUCUUAGAUUUGAAGACUGCCUGAGUUACGAUGGUUGGAAAUAAAUGUGGAGAGUACAGCAUAGUCGUGGAGACCUAUGGUUAUCUAUGUAAGGAAUCCAAAGGAGGACAGCGCAGCCGUGAGUGAAUACUCCGAAAAGGACGGAACAGAGCGUCCUG